Molecule: non-coding RNA, 150 nt
Organism: Caenorhabditis elegans
Lineage: Eukaryota; Metazoa; Nematoda; Chromadorea; Rhabditida; Rhabditidae
Source: Ensembl
GCUCGAUUCUAUGAAAAGAAAUUAUGCACACACAAGCUUCACAGUGAGCAUGCUGAAUGAUUGAGCAAAUACAUGAGAGAAUAAGAGAGGAAUGAGAUGAAAAGAAGCGUUCAAAUCAAAAGAAACCAGACAAAAUGGCGAUUUUUUACG